Long non-coding RNA from Apis florea (little honeybee), 1115 nucleotides. RefSeq lists it as uncharacterized. The record is from RefSeq and is a predicted model, not a curated record. NCBI's taxonomy places the organism in Eukaryota, Metazoa, Arthropoda, Insecta, Hymenoptera, Apidae.
AUAUUCUCAUAAUUUUCUUACUUUUUCCAUCUAUUUAUAUAUUCAUACAUAUACUUCGAAAUGAAGGAUUCAAAUAGCUCGAUGAUGCGCGUUUCCAUUUUCCGGCAAAGAAAUGACGCUCGCGUGACGGCAGCGUGUGCCCGCGGGGGCGUUCGAUUUCGAGUUCCCCGAAUCGCGUGCUGGCCGAGGGAAGAGAUGAUCGCCUCUCUCUUGUGGUUUGUAGGAAAGGACGUGAAGUCGGCGCGGCGCUUGUUCAGCUACGAUUCGAAAGAGGAUGCAGCCAACCGUUUUACCACGGUCGUUCGAGCGCCGCAGGCCGAUCCUGGAUUGUAGUGUGAGAUGCCAUGUGGCACGGUGUGGUCCGGUUGGAUUGGGUUCGGUUCGGUACGGUCCGCAAUGUCGAUGCGCAUCUUAAACGUGGGCGGAUCGGCCGGUCAGCCGCCCCUGGUGUUUCUCACCCGCAUGCCUGGCAUACGUGCCGCUCAUCCUCUCCUUUUUCCUUUUUCCCCUCCUUCCCACCACAAUUCCCAAGCCUUUCUUCCUCCCAGUCCGAGCUACCGGUUCCCUCCCUAUCGUUCUCGUGUCCCCUCGUGUUCCACGAUCGAUCGGUUGCUUCACGUGUACGUUUCACCUUUUUCUCUAUCUUCGAUUGCUAAUUCCGUUUCCGAGUCCGUUUCCAAGAAUCAUUUCUUCUUUUUUUGCCUCCUUGAUCAAUCGUUCCAUCCGUAUUUUUCUUGCGUUUUUCCGCGCGCGAUGGAUCGAUUAUACUUGGAAAUGAUUUUUUAUUAUCGAUACCACGAUUGAAAAUUAGAUAGUAGUAGCUGGCUGGAAGGAGAGGAGGAAGAGGAUAAGAGGAGGAGAGAAGAUGGGCCGAAAGCGAAGUUCCAUUGGAUGAGAAGAGGCGUUGAACGUUGGUUCUCGUAUAGCCCUGAGGACGUUCUCAUGAGUCGGGGGCGGCAGGAAGAAAGAUUGCCACGCUGAGAGUUGUUUUUCUGUUACUCGAGGGCAUCGGCGUUCCUCGGCAAGAUCGGUUCAGUGCGAAAUUAUUUGGCCAAUUACACCUCGAAAAUUUAUAUAGUGUCUGGUCAACCUGUUUUCAUCGAUGCUCGAGGAUC